CUGACUCCUUAUUAGCUUCAGAUUAGGCAGCAGCAAAAUUGCUUAAACCUGGCUUAACUGCCAGAAUAGGCCCUUUCAUGCAGCCCUUUUGUUCUUGGACCAUUGUCCCGGUGGCUCCCAGCCCCCCUUCCCCUAGCUCUGCCUGGGGCUUGCUGGACUUCCUAAGAGCCUCUCUGCAGCUAGAAAUGGAUCUGGUUUUUUUCAGGAUCUCUUUGUUGUCUUGAGUUCUCAGGGUGGCUGCCUAACACCUGCAGCACUCCCACAUCCCUGUGUAAAUUGCCUGCAUCCCUUGCUGACAAAUGAGAGGCCAUUGCCAGCAACAAGGUAACCUGGCAUUCCCUUCGAGCUGCCUUCUGCUUCCCAGCCAGCUCCAGACAAUCUCGCAGCCUGUCAGUCAGCAUCACGUGAGCAGUCCCCCAUCCAUUGCUCCUGGGACCCAGGGGGUGAUUUGGAAAGGAUCUGCUGGGCUGUCACUCACCUCCAUCUGCCUUCAGGAGAAGGAUUCUGGGUUCCAUGCUGUUUCCUCUUGUGCCUGCAUGGCUUUGAUCACAAUUUGCUUCUCAGGCCUUCAGAAUCACAGCUGCCCUGCUUGGAAGACGAGCGUGCAUCUGCCCAACAGCUUUCAGAGCGAGCCAUCCCUGGCAGCCAAAGCAGAUUCUCCGUGCCUGCUUCCAAGCAGCACGAGAUGA
This 689-nucleotide long non-coding RNA is filed under the name Parus major (Great Tit). RNAcentral's name for it is "lncRNA (ENSPMJG00000007518.1)". Lineage: Eukaryota; Metazoa; Chordata; Aves; Passeriformes; Paridae. The record is from RNAcentral.